Molecule: ribosomal RNA, 526 nt
Filed under: Peyssonnelia sp.
Lineage: Eukaryota; Rhodophyta; Florideophyceae; Peyssonneliales; Peyssonneliaceae
Description: partial small subunit ribosomal RNA
Rfam family: Eukaryotic small subunit ribosomal RNA
Source: RNAcentral
AGCAGGNGCGCAAUUACCCAAUCCGGACACCGGGAGGUAGUGACAAGAAAUAGCAAUNNNNNGNCCGAUGGGUUUUCUAAUUGGAAUGAGAACAAGGUAAACAGCUUAUCGAGGAGCCAGCAGAGGGCAAGUCUGGUGCCAGCAGCCGCGGUAAUUCCAGCUCUGUAAGCGUAUACCCAAGUUGUUGCAGUUAAAACGCUCGUAGUCGGAAGUUGGCGGGCGAGNNGGGGCGUCUUCGCGGACGGACCUGNNUCGGCCGCCUUUGUGGAGGGGGGCUCGGNGCCGCUUGAGUGCGGNNUCGUUGUCGCUGCCACCGUUUACUGUGAAAAAAUUAGAGUGUUCAAAGCAGGCGUUUGCCGUGAAUACCUUAGCAUGGAAUAAUAGAAUAGGACCUGUGUUCUGUUUUAUUGGUUUGUGAGGACCGGGUAAUGAUUAAGAGGGACGGUUGGGGGCAUUUGUAUUCCGGCGUCAGAGGUGAAAUUCUUGGAUUGUCGGAAGACAAACGGCUGCGAAAGCGUCUGCCAAG